Molecule: transfer RNA, 73 nt
Filed under: Acidobacteriota bacterium
Lineage: Bacteria; Pseudomonadati; Acidobacteriota
Description: tRNA-Val
Rfam family: tRNA
About the family: Transfer RNA (tRNA) molecules are approximately 80 nucleotides in length.
Source: RNAcentral
CGGCUCUUGGCGCAAUCGGUAGCGCGUCUGUCCUACAAACAGUUGUUUGAAGGUUCGAGUCCUUCAGAGCCGA